CGGCGUGGAUUAGGCAUGCAAGUCGAACGCGAAAGUUCCCUUCGGGGAGCGAGUAGAGUGGCGAAAGGGUGAGUAAUGCUUGGAUGACCUGCCCUCGAGACGGGGACAACAGUUCGAAAGGACUGCUAAUACCCGAUAGUCCGGUUUAGAUGCGUCUAGAUCGGUAAAUGGUGCUUCCGCUCGAGGAGGGGUUCAAGUCCUAUCAGCUUGUUGGUGAGGUAACGGCUCACCAAGGCGAUGACGGGUAGCCGGACUGAGAGGUUGGCCGGCCACAUGGGAACUGAGACACUGUCCUGACUCCUACGGGAGGCUGCAGUCGAGAAUCUUCUGCAAUGGGCGAAAGCCUGACAGAGCGACGCCGCGUGGAGGAUGAAGGCCCUCGGGUCGUAAACUCCUGUCACAUGUUAUGAAACGCACAGGUCUACCUGUGCGCUGACAAAAGCAUGAGAGGAAGUCACGGCUAACUUCGUG
This 471-nucleotide ribosomal RNA is filed under the name uncultured bacterium. RNAcentral's name for it is "bacterial SSU rRNA". It matches the Rfam family "Bacterial small subunit ribosomal RNA", at positions 40 to 507 of the family's 1533-position model. The record is from RNAcentral.